CGAUUCCGGAGAGGGAGCCUGAGAAACGGCUACCACAUCUAAGGAAGGCAGCAGGCGCGCAAAUUACCCAAUCCUAAUACAGGGAGGUAGUGACAAGAAAUAACAAUACAGGACUUUUAAAUAGUUUUGUAAUUGGAAUGAGUUAAGUAUAAACCCCUUUACAAGUAUCAAUUGGAGGGCAAGUCUGGUGCCAGCAGCCGCGGUAAUUCCAGCUCCAAUAGCGUAUAUUAAAGUUGUUGCAGUUAAAAAGCUCGUAGUUGGAUUUCUGUUAAUAAUUUAUAUAUAAUAUUUUAAUAUAUUUAUAUAAUAUUAACAUAAUUCAUAUUACUAUAAUUAUUUUUAGUAUAUGAAAUUUUACUUUGAGAAAAUUAGAGUGCUUAAAGCAGGCAUAAUUGCCUUGAAUACUACAGCAUGGAAUAAUAUUAAAGAUUUUUAUCUUUCUUUUUUAUUGGUUCUAAGAUAAAAAUAAUGAUUAAUAGGG
This 481-nucleotide ribosomal RNA is filed under the name Cryptosporidium sp. KSFM. Its description in RNAcentral is "SSU rRNA". It matches the Rfam family "Eukaryotic small subunit ribosomal RNA", at positions 378 to 877 of the family's 1831-position model. Lineage: Eukaryota; Apicomplexa; Conoidasida; Eucoccidiorida; Cryptosporidiidae. The record is from RNAcentral.